UAGGGAAUCUUCGGCAAUGGACGAAAGUCUGACCGAGCAACGCCGCGGGAGUGAAGAAGGUUUUCGGAUCGUAAAACUCUGUUGUUAGAGAAGAACAAGGACGUUAGUAACUGAACGUCCCCUGACGGUAUCUAACCAGAAAGCCACGGCUAACUACGUGCCAGCAGCCGCGGUAAUACGGAGGUGGCAAGCGUUGUCCGGAUUUAUUGGGCGUAAAGCGAGCGCAGGCGGUUUCUUAAGUCUGAUGUGAAAGCCCCCGGCUCAACCGGGGAGGGUCAUUGGAAACUGGGAGACUUGAGUGCGGAAGAGGAGAGUGGAAUUCCAUGUGUAGCGGUGAAAUGCGUAGAUAUAUGGGGGAACACCAGUGGCGAAGGCGGCUCUCUGGUCUGUAACUGACGCUGAGGCUCGAAAGCGUGGGGAGCAAACAGG
Molecule: ribosomal RNA, 429 nt
Filed under: Gemmatimonadota bacterium
Lineage: Bacteria; Pseudomonadati; Gemmatimonadota
Description: Gemmatimonadetes bacterium partial 16S ribosomal RNA
Rfam family: Bacterial small subunit ribosomal RNA
Source: RNAcentral